AAUGCCUGUCUCUUUCUCUCACUGUGCACGUACAUCUGUUUCUCUCAUUGUCUUUAUGUUGCCAACAGGACCUGUAUGUAUACUGGAGAAAGGGAGGAGGUGGCCUCAUGGCCAUAAACAAGCACUCAAACGUCUCUCCCCCAAAAUGAGGACAUUUAGCACAGCGCUAUUAAGAACAGGUCUGUCUACCUGGCUAUCUGUUUACACCCUUUCAAGCAUGCUCAUCUGAGACAAGACCAAACCAGAAGAACUACAUUAGGGCUCGGCGACUUGCUUUGUGACCUGUGCCCAACUCUCUGUCACAGCUGAGGAACCUGGGAUACGGUGACGACGGGAAACAGCCUCACCAUGGCUCGCACAGUGAAAGAGGUGCAGAGUUGCGAUUUGAACCCAGGUUUGCCUUAACAAUCUGUGCUGUAAAUUACCGCUUUCUAUAGCCUCACAUUAAGUGUCAUUUUCUCACUGAAUGCUUUGAACUGAAAUUUGGAAGACUUGGUUUUUAGUUAUUAGCAGCCAGCAUUCAGAAAAUGAGAAAA
Long non-coding RNA from Phyllostomus discolor (pale spear-nosed bat), 536 nucleotides. RefSeq lists it as uncharacterized. The record is from RefSeq and is a predicted model, not a curated record. The transcript has 2 exons. NCBI's taxonomy places the organism in Eukaryota, Metazoa, Chordata, Mammalia, Chiroptera, Phyllostomidae.